GGAUGGAUCAUUAAGAGGUUAUCAUUCUUUGAUAACCUCUUAAUGAUCCAUCCGCAGGUUCACUCUAGGUGAACCUGCGGAUGGAUCAUUAAGAGGUUAUCAUUCUUUGAUAUACCACUGUGGUGUAAUGUGUGUCGAAUUGGCGGCGAUGUUGUGUGUGUGCCCUUGGGCAUGUGCAUGCGCGCCGCCAGCAACAAACCCUAUUUUAAACUACUAGUUGUCUGAUUACUCUCUGUAAAGAAACAAUCUUAUACAACUGCUAGCAACGGAUCACUCGGCUCUCGCGUCGAUGAAGAACGUAGCAAAGUGCGAAAAUUAAUGCAACACGCAACACGUGAGUCAUCGAGUCUUUGAACGCAUAUUGCACCCGACAGGCUCGCUUGUCGGGUCUGCCUGUUUGAGUAUCAGAUCGGACCCAGCAGCCGACGACGGGGGCGUGGAACAGGGUUUUGCGACUCUGCUUUGCGCAUCCGCGUCGACUAGCCGGUGCUCGCUGCGCAGCAAUGUGCGGCGGAAAUGGGGUUUUGGUGGCGCGCUCGCGCAACCCCAUUCCCUGAAAUGUAUUGGCCGACCGGCGCAUCCUCGAUGUCGCUGCGCUUGGACUGCGGGCCGUUUAGCAAUGUUAAUCAUCCGCAAGGGUGUCUUUGUUAAGUUGCCGGGUUAUUCAACGAGCGUGGCGCGAUGUCCAAACCGACCACCCUUGCAAAUGCACGAAAGUGUGUGCGCAAACCGCAGCGCGGGAAACCGCGUUUGCACCCACCAACUUGAUCUCAAAUCAGGCAGGAUGACCCGCUGAAUUUAAGCAUAUCAGUAAGCGGAGGAAAAGAAACUAACCAGGAUUCCCUUAGUAACGGCGAGUGAAGCGGGAAAAGCCCAAUCUGAGAAGCUGGUCGGCCCCUGCGCCGGUCCCGCGUUGUAGAUUGAUGGGGCGUUGCCUAGCGGCAGACCUUUCGGCCAAAGUCUCUUGGAACAGAGCGUCAUAGAGGGUGACAACCCCGUGUGUGGCCGGACGACAUUACAGUCUGUCGCGUCGAUGGCGCGUUUCCUUAGAGUCGGAAUGUUUGGGAUUGCAUUCCAAAGCGGGUGGUAAACUCCAUCUAAGGCUAAAUACUGGCGAGAGACCGAUAGCGAACAAGUACCGUGAGGGAAAGUUGAAAAGCACUCUGGAGAGAGAGUCAAACAGUACGUGAAAUUGCUAGCAGGGAAACGUUGGGCACCAGUACGCGGCAAUCAAUGUCGAUGAUCAGUCGGCCGGCGCGGCGGCUAUUGCGCGGAGCUUCCGCUUCAGAGACAGCCCCAGGGCUGCUCACGCGUAGUAGCCGGCCGUGCGGGCCGGUGCACUCUUCGACAGCCGGGUCAACAUCGGUUGCUGGCGUCCGACAAGCAGCACGGCAAGGUAGCAGGGGUGGCGGUUUUUACGGCCGUUAUUCUGAACUUAUAGGCCGGGCAGAGCGAGGACGGCGGCGACCGAGGAGGCAUUGCGGCUCGCGCGCCUUUCGGGGUGCAGGGCGUGCCGGCAGGGUUUUGGUUGCCCGUGGCGCUGGACAGCUUGCUGACCAGGGUUUACUUUGGUGCGCUUCGGCGCAUCAGCGGCGGCCGCCUUGUCGGUACAAGCCACUAGCGAGUCCAUGACGGUUGACGAAAUGGUUCUCAACGACCCGUCUUGAAACACGGACCAAGGAGUCUAACAUGUCUGCGAGUGUUUGGGUGGAAAACCCGAACGCGGAAUGAAAGUGACGAGGUGUGGCUGCGUGCCCACCCGCUGGUAGGAACCGGAACGCUUCGGCGCGCCGGUGCACUACCGACCGACCUGUUGCCCUCUGUGGCGGUAGGUUUGAGUUGGAGCAGUCCUGUUAGGACCCGAAAGAUGGUGAACUAUGCCUGAGCAGGAUGAAGCCAGAGGAAACUCUGGUGGAGGUCCGUAGCGGUUCUGACGUGCAAAUCGAUCGUCGGACUUGGGUAUAGGGGCGAAAGACUAAUCGAACCAUCUAGUAGCUGGUUCCUGC
Molecule: unclassified non-coding RNA, 2006 nt
Filed under: uncultured fungus
Lineage: Eukaryota; Fungi
Description: sequence contains 18S rRNA gene, ITS1, 5.8S rRNA gene, ITS2, 28S rRNA gene
Rfam family: Eukaryotic large subunit ribosomal RNA (bases 766-2006)
Source: RNAcentral